GCAGAGCCGAGCGAAGGGAAGGUCCGGGCCCUGCAAGCGCCGCCGCCGCCGCUUCUCGCUCAGCGCCUCCGGAAGCGCAUUCCUGCUGGCUGCCGUCAGCCUGGGCGGAGCGUGGAGAAUGGAAGGGCCCUGGGGCGGCUGAGAAGAAGCAGCCUCGUGGGAAGGUGGCGGGGGGCGAAAAUAGGGGUUCCAUCAUGGCAAAGUGACAAGCAGACCCAGAACAAGUAGAAGAUGAGGAUGAAGAAGAAGAGUUUGGAUUUAUAGUCUCCUUUUUCUCCUCUUGUUGCCAAGAUGCUUGAGUGAAUGGAGUCUGCGAAUUUGAUUUACAGUUGUUCUUCCAAGAUGUUAAAUUUUUGAAAUAUCGUGGUGGAAAAUAUAAUUCAGAACAAGCAGCACCGAGCAAAUGCUAUAAAUAUGAGGAAAAGCAAAAAAGGUUUGAUUUGACAUGAAUAUUGAGUGUGAUAAGCUUUCAACCCAUUCUGAAGCACGAUUGACAGCAGAUAUAUUCUGUGUUUACCUAGGCAUGGCGAUUUCCUAUUUUUUUGUAUUUUAGUAUGCAACAAUGCCAGACCUAUUCUACUUCCAAGAAAGGAAUGAAAACAUUUACU
Long non-coding RNA from Sphaerodactylus townsendi, 608 nucleotides. RefSeq lists it as uncharacterized. NCBI's taxonomy places the organism in Eukaryota, Metazoa, Chordata, Lepidosauria, Squamata, Sphaerodactylidae. The record is from RefSeq and is a predicted model, not a curated record. The transcript has 3 exons.